AUGUACAAUCUUGAUGUCAAGGUCAUAGAGAUACAAUCUUUUGUGGAGAAGAUGAGAGAUGAUGCCGAAGAUGGUAAUGAGGACACUACCACUGAGAGGUUUCAGACAAUGCCGAGGGCACCCAGGUCUUCAGCUGUGCCAGAAGCAGACACCAGGACAACACACUCUGCACCUGCCGCCACUGGUACAGUGCCACCCCUAGUGUCGACACCACCAGCUCAACAGACAUCAGCCGAGGCAUUUGUAGAAGCAGUUCUCUCCAUGCCAUCUAUGCACACCGAAGCAAUAAGCCAGAAGACCCCUUCAGGAGUUCCCAGAGAUUGUGCCUGGAGUGUCGUAUAG
This 342-nucleotide ribosomal RNA is filed under the name Triticum aestivum (bread wheat). Its description in RNAcentral is "partial small subunit ribosomal RNA". Lineage: Eukaryota; Viridiplantae; Streptophyta; Magnoliopsida; Poales; Poaceae. The record is from RNAcentral.